AAACACUUAUUUAAUAUUUAUUAGUAUUGUCCAAAGAAGUUCAUGUAGACAAUCUCUUUUUAGUUCUGUGAAACUAAUUCCCCAGACAUCUUUAAAAUAAAGUAGAAUGCUGAAAGAAAGAAAGAAAGCUCUGACGGCGUGGACCUACUUCACCAAGUAAACAUGAUUACCAUGACAAAGUAGACCCCCAAAAAAAACCACCAAACAGGCUACACAACCACAGAAAGACUUCAUCUAACGGAGGCACACAAGGUUUAUUUCAGAUCUUAUGGUGUUACAAAAUCCACACACACUAUACUGGGAUAAAAAGGCACUGAUUUGUUGAUUUGAAAUGAGACCAUUAAAUCAGAUAAUAGUUCUACCAAUACUGUGGUAAUAACAUGAUGGAUUCUUAUUACUUUGAAAAGCUACUGAGGUGGAAGAUUCUGAAAGAGCCAUGGAAGUGGGGGAAAACAGUUGAAAACACUUAACAAUACCAACGUUUCAAUAUCUACAGGUCUGGAAACAGUUGAAAACACUUAACAAUACCAACACCAGAGCUACGUUUCAAUAUCUACAGGUCUGGAAACAGUUGAAAACAAUUAACACUACCAACACCAGAGCUACGUUUCACUAUCUACAGGUCUGGAAACAGUAACCAUUAAAUCUAUCCAUAGUGGAAAGCAACAGAUGCAUUGACUAACUGUUACACGGUUAUGGAACAUCCUCUAGUACUGCAGUCAGCUACACAGUGGUUUAAACAUGAGCGCUACAGUAUUGCUCAGUACACUCCCAAGGGCCGUAUUCCGUCUGGGAUCGCUGAAGCGGUACAGAUUGCGUGAUAGAAAAUGUAGAUUGAGUCGACAUAUGCAGAGUUUACAGUGAAUGCAUUCUCCACUAAACGGGGGAACAUUGCCUUUAAAUUUAAAUCAUGCUGGAGCGUUGAACUCCCGCGAUACGGAUUGAAUUUAGGAGCCCUAAAUCCCACAACAGUCCAACAACGAGUGAUAAAACCAAAUGGGUCACAAAGAGGAGUGUGUAACGGUCAGUCUCCAUGAUGGGGAUCCAGCCAGGUCAGUCUCCAUGAUGGGGAUCCAGCCAGGUCAGUCUCCAUGAUGGGGAUCCAGCCAGGUCAGUCUCCAUGAUGGGGAUCCAGCCAGACCAGGUCAGGAGGUCAGGUCAGUCUCCAUGAUGGGGAUCCAGCCAGGUCAGUCUCCAUGAUGGGGAUCCAGCCAGGUCAGGCUCCAUGAUGGGGAUCCAGCCAGGUCAGUCUCCAUGAUGGGGAUCCAGCCAGGUCAGUCUCCAUGAUGGGGAUCCAGCCAGGUCAGUCUCCAUGAUGGGGAUCCAGCCAGGUCAGUCUCCAUGAUGGGGAUCCAGCCAGGUCAGUCUCCAUGAUGGGGAUCCAGCCAGACCAGGUCAGGAGGUCAGGUCAGUCUCCAUGAUGGGGAUCCAGCCAGGUCAGUCUCCAUGAUGGGGAUCCAGCCAGGUCAGGCUCCAUGAUGGGGAUCCAGCCAGACCAGGUCAGGAUGUCAGGUCAGUCUCCAUGAUGGGGAUCCAGCCAGACCAGGUCAGGAGGUCAGUAGUCAUACUCCUUGUCUAUAAACUUGGCCAUGGUGG
This is a long non-coding RNA of Coregonus clupeaformis (lake whitefish), 1596 nucleotides long. RefSeq lists it as uncharacterized. The record is from RefSeq and is a predicted model, not a curated record. The transcript is spliced from 3 exons. NCBI's taxonomy places the organism in Eukaryota, Metazoa, Chordata, Actinopteri, Salmoniformes, Salmonidae.